UUACCGCGCCACCCUCUCCCACGCUCUCGACGCGUCCGCUAACACAGGAGAGCCGCAGCAGCCGCAGCAACGGAAAUAAGUCGUCCAAGUAAGGCGUUGUCGCCGCGAGUAGACGGGGGUGGGGAGCCUUUCCCCUUAUUUUUCCCCUUUUCAUCUUUUCUUGUUCGUUAUCGCGUCUCCUCGUGCGCCGUCACAGCGGUCGUGGCCUCGUUGUCGCGUCGCUCUCUCCUGCUUUUCCAUUCUUUUUAGCCCUCCAUGAUUAUUGGUCGUGAACCUUGCAUUACGGACCCCGCCUGCCGCAACAAAGGACAGACACCAAAGAAGCUUGUGAACGCUAACCGCACACACACACGCACACGCAGGGACUGCUUCGUGUUUCGUCUUGGGCCUUUCUUCCCACAUACAUACACACACACAUACACACACACACACACACACACACACACACAGAGCCUACGUGCAGAUCGGGCCGUGCACACACACGCGCCGCAGCGGAGCUACACCUUUCAAAGGCUUGCCACCUCCCCUUCCCUACCUUUUUCUCAGCCGUUGCUGUGGGCUAAAUGCCGAGGAAAGAGUCUGGUGCUAGCCGCUUCGUCAACAUGAGCGCACCGGCUCCGAACUCCGCCUCCGGUGCCAAGGGGUCGGCGCCGCCCACCCCGACAACCGUGCGCUCCACGCCUGCACGUCUGCCGCACCGCCCCAUCUCCCCGUCUGUGGGCUCGUUGCUGCAGAAGGGGCUGACAAUGUCUUCGACAUCUGUGGCGUCGCUCUCCUCGCAGCGUGGAAAGGCGACCACCACGACGAACACCACCACAACGCGGCCCGCGGCGGCACCAGCAUACCCAUACGAUGCAAACACAAAGGCGCUCGAGGCGUAUCUCCCUCGCCUCCAGGCCGCUGCAAACCGCGCCAGCCCAGUGGCACCGUCCACGGCACAAAAGCCACUGCCGGAGGGCAGUGCGAAAUCUCGCUAUCUACCGUCAUCAUCCUUGAAGGUGUUGACAGUCGCCGGUGCGGCUGAGCCUGGUGUGCGUGCCGCACGCUCGCGAAACGAUCAUCGCACCUCCCCUGUGCGGGGUCGCGCUACUCUCGGUUCAUCUCAGCAGCGCACGAAUUGGGGUUUUGAGACGCUGGCGGAGGAGAGGGACAGCGAAGAUGACCUGCAAGCCCGAUCACCCCUGCGUACGCUCGCAAACCUGCCGCAGCGCACGCAGGAGUUGUGCGAGGACCUCAUAACUCUCGAUUCGCUUGUCGAGGCGGAUGAAGCUUUCUUGACCGCACAGGAGGACAUGGAGGCGCGCAUCAUGGCGUUGCUACAGUCGUGGCGCGAGGCGGCGGCGGAAGGCGACUCGCGAGGUGGAAGCCGACGACCCUCUGGCGUUUAUGCUCUCGCUACUGCGUCGACUCCAACCGCUGCUGGCACACAGCUGGGCGACGCGGUCGCUAGCAGCAGCGGUGGCGGCGGCGGCGGGGGCACGCAGCGUGUCCUGCAAGACUUCGACGAAGCUCGUGACCGCAUCACUCUCUUGGAGAAGUUGCAUGAGGAGCUCACAGAGAUGGAAGGGCAACAUCGCGAGCUCCAGCGCCGCUACGUGGUGGAGGGCUCGCCGCUGUCGGCGCUGGAUGAGCUCUGCGCGCGGCUGGACGAGGAGGACGGAGAAAUGCGCGAAAACGGCGAUGAGGCACGCUGCGCUGAAGGCUCGGAGAAGGCUGGCUGGGGUGCCCAUAGAGACGGCCGAUCGAAGGCGCGACAACGGCAGGAGCUCGAUGUGGCGCGGGCCGGACUAGCUGCCUGCCGUCUUCUUGCCGACCGACUGCGCUCUCGUGGCAUGAUGAUCGUCGACCGUCUCACGGACGAGCUCCUCUGCAUGCGUUCCGACGUGGCGCGACAUGACUGGACGGCGUUGCAGUCGUCGACUCCCCUGACCCGAAUGGACCGUGCGGUGCCCCUAGACGCGCGCGAUGACAGCCUCAUCUCUGGCACCUCGAUCAGCUGGUGCACGUCGCUCUUCCCGCCACCGCUCCCGGUGGCGGCGGUGAGUCGAGGCGGGAAAGGCAGGGCGCGCCUUUUCGCGAACAGCAGUGCGCAUUAUUUUGUCGAAGCUGCUGGACGCACGCACGGCAGCGACGGCGAUGAGUCGGACCGUUCCAAAGCCACUGUGACGUCCACAGAGACGCCAGAGUCCUUUGUUCUUCGCGUGCAAGUGCCGGUCUUCGCAUCCGCCACACCGCCUGCCUUGGUGACCUCCUUGCCAGCUGCCGUGACGACGACCGCGGAAGGUGCAACGGCCACCACAGCAAGUUUUGCGUCCCGUGUCAGCGGUGAUGGUCUUCAUUCCUCGAACUCAGCGGAGAGGAUGCGAAGGCGGUCAAGCGGAGCCACGCAAGCACUGCCAACGGCACCGCCCACCACUGUCUCAGUUAUCGCCACUCCUACCCGCUACGCUCUUGUCCAGCUGUACGAAUGCUGCCGUGAGGGGCUCGCCGCAAUGCUCACUCGACUCUGUGCGCUGCGUACCCGGCGCUCCAAGGAGGCGGAGCUGCUUCAACAAGAGCAGAGUGCGAUGGAUGUGUAUGAUCCUGCCGCAGACGACCUUGCUGCCCGGUGCGCGGCGCUUCUUCGCUACGUGGCUCAGCUGGACGAAUGGGCUGGGGAGGUGCUGCAGAUGGAUCAAGUGCUCCACGAGCGCGUUAAGUUGCCAUUGGAUGCCGCCCUGCAGACCUGUGAGCGGGUGCGUAAUCAGCUGCUGGAGGUGCUGAAGCAGCGGCUGGAGGACGAAGAGGGGCACCACAAUGAACGCGCCGCGGCAGCGGCGGAUGCCGAGGAAUACGGCGGUGAAGCGGAUGACAGAGGCGGACAUCAUCUGCCGCAUGAGCGGGUGUGCGAUGACAACAGCGAGGAACUGCACGCAUUGCCAGACGAGGGCGGCGAAGGGAAUGUCAGCGAUCAGCGCCGGAUGUCGGGUUCGAUCGGCGACUAUCGGGCGCAUCGAGCUACUCAGCCGCCUACGAGGGCGUCAUGCGGCGCCGCGCCACCCACCGCCCUGCCGCGUGCGUCCGCUGCGUUCAUUGGGAUGCUCGAAACGCUCUUGCAGGACCAGCAAUCCGCUGGCGAGGCCCUCCGUGCCACCGCAACGGCCUUCGCUGGAGGCACGUCCGGGGGCGAGCGGGAGCUGGACACCGGCGAGCACUGUGGAAAGGACGGUGAGCCAAGUGAGGAGGCACCGACGCCUGAGCAGGGGUCGUCGGUAGCAGAGGGGCACAAUGAGGGCCCCCGCGCGCUGGUCGGUUUAGAAACUGCGCCAGAGGCGGAGCCCGUGAACACGCCAUCCGCGGCCCACUCGCACAGAAAGACAGCGACGGUGGCGGUCGGCAAAGCGAACGCGAGCGAGGCGACUAACACCCAAGCCGAUAGACCGAGCGAAGGCGUCGACGCCGGUCACGUUGCCGGCCGUCGCCGCCAUCGUGAUGAUAGCGAGGACGAGAGCGAAGACACUCCCUCGCAUUCCGUGCUGUCCCAAACCGCUGAGCGAAAGCAUGCGCAUACCUUGGACCCCACCUCGACGGCAGCGCCGCCGCAUGAGAUUACCGUCUACAUCUCGUCAACAUCUUGCUCUGAGUUGGGGGAAGAGCUUGGGGAGGACGUGGGCGUGAGGCAGAGUGCGGUUCAGACUCAGGGAGGAAUGCACCGACUAGCGAAGAUGCUGGAGCCUGAGCCCGACGACAGCGAUGGCGACGACGAUGUCUCUGACUCCGAUAGCGGCGACGAUUCUCGGAACAGCAGAGAAGGCAAUUUAAAUCCCACGAACCAGCGCCAGCGGUACGCUCUCGGCAGUGGUAACGGGCUAGGGGAGGGGCUUCGCGCCUUCUUCUCCGCUGUGGUGCGCCGCGCCAUGAGCUUCGACGACAGCGAUGACGACGCCGAUGAGACUGAGAUGGCGAUGCCUUUUCAAGGACGGCAGCACGGCGGUGCAUCGCCGCUGCCUUCGCACAAGCGUGCCCGCCGCGAGUAGCAAGCCAUGUUGAAUGCCAGCAAGUGCUGCUCUGUGCACGCCUGCUCACCUAAUACUGCGGCGUUUUGGUGGGGGCAGGGCGGCAGAUUCGAAAACAGCAACAACGGCAUAGGGACCGGGCGUGUGUGCGUGUGCGUGUGCGUGUGCGUGUGCUUGUGUGAGGGUGAAGGGAGUAACGCUCGUAUGGCGGUGCGUGCGUCUCUUCCUCCUCCCUCCAUCCUCUUCCUUUAUCCUUCCGCCCCUCCGCUCUUCUGCCGCCUUUUCUGCUCUCGCCAGCGCCGUGCGAACACGCGCCACGGCGGCACACUCCUCUUCAUGUUCUCCUUUUUCUACUAAAGAAGUAUUUUUCUUUUCAUCUGAGUCCUCUUAUUCACUUGUUCGGCGAUUGUUUGGAAACUGUCGUUGUCGUUGCCAUCAUCGCCGCCAAUGCCUUGGCGCACACGCUUGCGGUGCUUUUGGUGCUGGCGCUGUGGCUGCCCUCUUGGAUACUCGUCGAUUUUGUCUGUGUGUGGGCGUUCUUCUUUUUCGUCUUCGCUUGCUAGAGACUUCACCCCCCGUCUUCUUCUUUCCUUUGCGUGUGCAAUGUGCGCAGACUCACUUCCCUUUUAUCAUAUCUGAUCGUCGGAAAGCAUGAAAGGGGACAGUAUUGACCUCCCCCUUCCCUCCCCUUCCCUUCCCUUCCCUUCCCCUGUUUCCCAGUGGAGGUUGUCAGUGGCGUCUCCAGCCAGUCUUCUUCUUUCAUGCGGCCUUGCUUCGCCCGUGCUCGUGGGUUCGCGCCUACACGUGUUUCGGUUCUUGGCGUCCUGUUUUGCUCCUGUCCUUUGGUCUGCCCCCCUCCUCCUCCAUGUCUUUCUUUCUACUUUCUUCAUCCGCCACAGGGCAGCGACUGUUCCGGCACACGCUUCUCUUUCCUUCGUGCGUACUGUGCUCUUCUGUCUUGUCGGG
Molecule: unclassified non-coding RNA, 4961 nt
Filed under: Leishmania donovani
Lineage: Eukaryota; Euglenozoa; Kinetoplastea; Trypanosomatida; Trypanosomatidae
Description: gene:LdHU3.12.0590(CDS-product:hypothetical_prote in_conserved)
Source: RNAcentral